GACGAACGCUGGCGGCGUGCCUAAUACAUGCAAGUUGAGCGCUGAAGGUUGGUACUUGUACCGACUGGAUGAGCAGCGAACGGGUGAGUAACGCGUGGGGAAUCUGCCUUUGAGCGGGGGACAACAUUUGGAAACGAAUGCUAAUACCGCAUAAAAACUUUAAACACAAGUUUUAAGUUUGAAAGAUGCAAUUGCAUCACUCAAAGAUGAUCCCGCGUUGUAUUAGCUAGUUGGUGAGGUAGAGGCUCACCAAGGCGAUGAUACAUAGCCGACCUGAGAGGGUGAUCGGCCACAUUGGGACUGAGACACGGCCCAAACUCCUACGGGAGGCAGCAGUAGGGAAUCUUCGGCAAUGGACGAAAGUCUGACCGAGCCACGCCGCGUGAGUGAAGAAGGUUUUCGGAUCGUAAAACUCUGUUGGUAGAGAAGAACGUUGGUGAGAGUGGAAAGCUCAUCAAGUGACGGUAACUACCCAGAAAGGGACGGCUAACUACGUG
RNAcentral lists this ribosomal RNA (497 nucleotides) under uncultured bacterium. Its description in RNAcentral is "partial 16S ribosomal RNA". It matches the Rfam family "Bacterial small subunit ribosomal RNA", at positions 28 to 507 of the family's 1533-position model. The record is from RNAcentral.